RNAcentral lists this ribosomal RNA (345 nucleotides) under uncultured bacterium. RNAcentral describes it as "bacterial SSU rRNA". It matches the Rfam family "Bacterial small subunit ribosomal RNA", at positions 29 to 403 of the family's 1533-position model. The record is from RNAcentral.
AACGAACGCUGGCGGCAGGCCUAACACAUGCAAGUCGAACGCUCCGCAAGGGGAGUGGCGCACGGGUGAGUAACACGUGGGAACCUACCUUCUGGUACGGAACAACCAAGGGAAACUUUGGCUAAGACCGUAUACGACCUCCGGGUGAAAGAUUGAUCGCCGGAAGAGGGGCCCGCGUCCGAUUAGGUAGUUGGUGAGGUAACGGCUCACCAAGCCUUCGAUCGGUAGCUGGUCUGAGAGGAUGACCAGCCACACUGGGACUGAGACACGGCCCAGACUCCUACGGGAGGCAGCAGUGGGGAAUAUUGGACAAUGGGCGCAAGCCUGAUCCAGCCAUGCCGCGUG